Molecule: transfer RNA, 62 nt
Filed under: Plateros sp. UPOL A00490
Lineage: Eukaryota; Metazoa; Arthropoda; Insecta; Coleoptera; Lycidae
Description: tRNA-Gln
Source: RNAcentral
UUAUAAAAUAAUAGUUUAAUUUUACAAUGAAAGUGUAAUGUUUUUAUUUAAACUAUAUAAAU